GAUGAACGCUGGCGGCGUGCCUAAUACAUGCAAGUCGAGCGAACAGACGAGGAACUUCCUCCUCUGACGUUAACGGCAGACGGGAGAGUAACCCGAGGGUAACCUAACUAUUAGACAGGGAUAACUUCGCGAAACCAGAGCUAAUACCGGACAAUAUAAUGACCAGCAGGGAUAAAUAGUGGAAGACGGAAUUACUGUAAAGUAUAGAUGGAUCCGCAUCGCCUUAGCUAGGAGGUAAGGUAACGGCUUAUCACGGCAACGAUGCGUAACCGACCGCAGAGGGUCAACGGCCACACUGGAUCUGAGACACGGUCCACACUCCUACGGUGGGCCGCAGUAGGGAAUCUUCCGCGAAGGACCAAAGCCUGACGGUGCACCGCCGCGUGAGCUAUGAUGGUCUUCGGAUCGUUAAACUCUGUUAUUAUGGAAGAACAAAUGCUCUAGUAACUAUGCACGUCUUGACUGUACCUAAUCAGAAAGCCCCGGCUAACUACGUG
RNAcentral lists this ribosomal RNA (497 nucleotides) under uncultured bacterium. RNAcentral describes it as "partial 16S ribosomal RNA". It matches the Rfam family "Bacterial small subunit ribosomal RNA", at positions 28 to 507 of the family's 1533-position model. The record is from RNAcentral.